UAGGGAAUAUUGCAAAAUGGGCGAAAGUCCGAUGCAGCAACGCCGCGUGGGCGAUGAAGGCCUUCGGGUCGUAAAGCCUUUUUUGGGGGGAUGAGGAAGGACAGUACCCUCAGAAUAAGCCUCGGCUAACUACGUGCCAGCAGCCGCGGUAAAACGUAGGAGGCGAGCGUUAUCCGGAUUUACUGGGCGUAAAGCGCGUGCAGGCGGAUUGGAGAGUUGGAUGUGAAAGCUCCCGGCUUAACUGGGAGAGGUCGUUCAAAACUACAAGACUUGAGAUUGGUAGAGGAAAAUGGAAUUCCGGGUGUAGUGGUGAAAUGCGUAGAUAUCCGGAGGAACACCAGUGGCGAAAGCGGUUUUCUGGACCAAUUCUGACACUCAGAUGCGAAAGCUAAGGUAGCAAAC
Molecule: ribosomal RNA, 402 nt
Filed under: uncultured bacterium
Lineage: Bacteria
Description: bacterial SSU rRNA
Rfam family: Bacterial small subunit ribosomal RNA
Source: RNAcentral